GGAGGAUUGGCUGACACACCAGAAGGCUGUGCUACCAUUCAGCAUGACCUGGACUGGCUGAGAGUUGGGCAGGGAGGAAUUUGAUGAGGUUCAAAUAAGAGCAAGUGUACAGUCUUACACCUGGGGAGGAAUAACCACAUGCAUCAGUACAGAGGAGGGGCUGACCUGCUGGAGAGGACCUGGGGAUCAUGGUGGAUAACAGACUGGCCAUGAGCCAGCAGUGUGCCCUUGUGGCCAAGAAGGCCAAUGUGAUCCUGGGGUGCAUAUCAAAGAGCAUGGCCAGCAGGUCAAGGGAGGUGAUCCUCCCCCUCUACUCUGCCCUGGUGAGGCCACAUUUAGACUACUGUGUCUAGUUCUGGGCUCAACAGUUCAAAAAAGGGUCUCCUAGAGAGAGUCCAACUGAGGGCCACAAAGAUGAUGAGGGACCUGGAGCACCUCCCAUAUGAUGAACAGCUGAGAGCCCUGGGACUCUUCAGCUUGGAGAAGAGAAGGCUAAGAGGUGAUCUUAUCAAUGCAUAUAAAUAUCUGAUGAGCAGGAGCCAACUGGAUGGGGGCAGGCUCUUUUCAACAGCACCCAGCAACAGAACAAGGGGCAACAGGCAAAAAACUGGAACACAGGAAGGUCCAUACAAACAUGCGGAAGAACUUCUUUACCUUGAGGGUUACAGAGCACUGGAACAGCCUGCCCAGAGAGGUUGUGGGUUCUCCUUCUACGGAGAUAUUCAUGACCCAUCUGGACACCUUCCUGUGUAACUCACUGUAGGGAACCUGCUUUAGCAGGGGAGUUGGACUAAAUUAUCUCUCGAAGUCCCUUCCAACCCCUAUGACUCUGUGAUUCUACACGAUUUAAGAAAAACAACACUUAGAGCCAACUGACAAAUAUUAAAAGCAAUAAAAAUAAUAUUCUACAAAUUGUUCUGACUGAAACACUUUAACAUAAACAGUGAAGAAUAUUUUUCAUGUUUUUUAAAAUGUUAUUUGUGUAAACCAAGUAGUCACCUUCAAGUACAGCGCCAACAACUAAAUUCAAUUUGACUGGAAUUCCUUUUAGCUUCUACACACAGCUUGAUCAAAAUCCUUUCUCCCAUCCUUGUUGCUAUUGAGAUUUUCCACGGUGAACAGUUGGUACAGGAAGUGUGACACAAAUCAUGGGUCCUGCACAAACUCCUCAAACACAAUUGCCUCACUCCUUGGGUAUAAAAGACAUCAAUAUAAAGCAUUUCUCUCCCACAUACUUUGCAGGUCAGGAUCAUCUACUAAAUAUAGUUCUAAUGCUAAUAAAAUAUUAACAUAAAUAUAGAUGAAUUGUAUUAAAAGGUUUUAUAAUACUGUCAUUACAAAAGGACUUCCUUUUUCAAUUACUAUAUCUGUAUAUUACUGGUAAUAACUCUGUAUCACCAAUUUCAAACUUUUCCUUGUAAGCUUUUUUCCCAUGCAACUGAGUGCUCCUUACUGCUGAUUAUUCAAAAUCAGAAGCUAACCUAACCUGCACUGCUUCUAAUAAAGGCACUUAUAAAUGGAAGACUGAAAGUAGGUUGCAUCAUACUGAAAUGAACAGGUUUUUUUUUUUUUUUUCAAAUGGUAAAUAUUUCUAAUUACGUAUUUUGUGUCAGUAAAUAGCUAUUAUAACACUGGAAGAUCCAUCUCAUACCUACCAGACGCCAAACUCUAAAGUUAUCCAAACUCAUAUUUUUCUAAUUAUUUCCAUAAUCUGUCUAAAUGUCCACACACUGAUAAACGCAGAAUAUAUUCCUAUAGAAUAAUUUCUAGAAAGCAUAUAGUUCUGAAUUUGAAAACAAUUUCUUCUUAGAUCUAAAUAUUCAAAAUCAAAGUAUAAUUUCUCCUUCUAGUUACUAGCAAUUGUCCACUAACUUUGCUAACUAGUUACACCAAUCCCUGGCUCAAAUUAAUUCACUAUAUAUAUUUAAUCUCGUAUCCUUCAAAAUACAGUUUAUUUAUAUUAUAGAGGAUUAUAUACACUAACCAUUAAGGCUGCAUUAUCUUCAUAAUCAUACAAACAACAAAAAGCAUGGUUGCAACUCAAAGACAUUACUACAUCUUGCCUUGAUUCUGCAAGAAAUCAUAUGAACAUGACUGUUCAUGGAGUCCCAAACAUGUAAUGAAGUUGCGCUCAUACAAAACAAGGAUCUGCAAAUUGUUUUAGUAAUAUAAUUACUCAUAUACGGCUCAAAAGAACAAAAACAAACAUUAUAAAUCACAAAUAGCCAGCAUCCUAAAUUUCCCUUUUAUGAUAUUAAAAAUAGGUGCAUUUAUCAAGUGCAUACUUGAUAAAAGAAAAAAAAUCAUAAAUACAAACCUGAAAAGACAAACUUGACAGGAACUAUGUAACUACAGUAGCUCAUUUCCUGCUCAUCUCUCAUAUAUUUAAAUCAAAUCUUAAAUGAAACAUAAGUCAGAAAGUUCACUACUCUUAGUUUAAUAUAAGCAUUUUUAUUAAAACAAGAGUUAUUUUAAACAAUGAAAUGUUACAGCUAAUGUUGCUUCCUGAUGAUGAAUACUACCCAACUAUUUCUGCACAGUCCUUUCUUUCCUGUAAAGCAGAAUUACGCUCAGCCCCUAUACAUGUUACCAACCAAAAGAAAACAGUAAUUCAGCUACGCAUGGUGAUAGGGACAUUCUGAGACAACUAGUGGCUCCCUCUGCAAUUAAUAAAGUUUAAAAAUAAAAAGCUGUUUUUUUGAAGUGUAAAUGCUGCUUCUCCGUGCAUGUAGGCCUGAGACCCCGUUAACAGGACCAGGCAGCACAAAGACAGGAAUGGGAGAUUAGCAGGAGGGAGGAAGGGAAGCUGAGAUUGAGGCUCAGCAGGAUCCACAGGCUUUUAAAAAUUCAAACUGCUCCCUGACCAAUACAAAUCACAGACACACUACUGACUUCUACAUGGAUUUACAUCAUUAAAAUGAUACUUUUCAAGUGACAGCUAUAUUAACUUCACCCUUUAAACACUUAUAAAGGCACUCAGAGGCAUGAAAGCAGUUUUUAAGACUCUAAACACAAUACCCCAGAAAGUUAUUUUCUCAGAUACAAUAGCCACUUAUUAUUAUAACAGAUCUGCCUGAACAAGUCAAAAAUCUACUUGAAAAGACAAAUUAUAAGAUAUUGAUACUUGUUUGUCAUUUAUAAUUUCCUUUCUAUAUGAAAGAUGAAACUUGGUAUCUUAAAAUUUCCCUCAAUUACGUAAUUUCUGGAGGAGUAUUUUUAUUAGUUCACACUCUACCACACAGUAAGUCCAAGAUUUACUUAAUUGAAAAUUAGCUACCACUUAUUUGUGAAGACUUGAUACUUAACAGUCAUUUACAAAACACAUUUGACCUGUUAAAGUGGCAACUUAAAACAUAAUGGACACAAAAGGCCAAUAACAACCUCAAGUCUGACAAGAACAGAAAGUUUUUUAAACAUUUCUCACUUUUCACUUAAUUAAAUUCAUGUUCAAUUCCCAAGAACUUCAGGUAAGAUCUCAUCUUUAUCUUGACCCCUGAAAUGUCAUAAAUGUACUACUUCACACAUGACCCCUUUCCCAUUUUCUGUUUGCUACAAAACAUAGUAUUUCUUCUGAUUUCAGUACACGUUCCUGUAACACCUACAGCACAUAAACAUGACUGUGUGGAAGCCUGACACAAUAUGCUUGUCUAUCUGUAUUUCCUGUGUCUGCAGGUACCUGUGUUGUGCCAACAUCCCCACAAAAUCUAGGUUUUAUACUAUAAACAUACAAAUUUAUUAACAGACUAAUCAAUCACUAUCUUAUUUAAAGAUCAAACAUUUGUCCAACUGAACAUUUGAAUAUUCAGAACGGAGUUUGUCAGAAGGUGAAGAGAAUAGUGACGAUAUUUACAUUACCUCUUUUCUCCUACCCCUCCACUUACUCCUUCCUCAGCUCAGAGGGCUGUCUGCACUGGGAUCUUACUUCCUUGCCCUGGUAAAGUCAUAAAUAUGACACACUUGCGACUAAUUGUAUUGUUCCCUCUUCCUCCUGCUCCUCUAUCGACUGAGGCCUGUUACUGAGAAGCCGUUUCGCCUUUCUAAUCCCCAAGCUAGAGUAAAGACGCUGGCCGGCAGGCCUGCGUUGUCCACUGGGCCUAGGCCUCCCGGCAGCUUAGGAAGAACCAAUCUCCUCCGCCAAACCCGAACAAGAAAAAAGGGGAGCUGGAAAUAAACACUUCCAAUUGCCACCUAUUCCCCUCUACCUCAGAGAACAACUAAUCCCUCUCUGCUCCCGCAGUGCUGGGCCGCUUAGGCUGGAAGGCCCAGCCUGCUGCUGGAGAGGGCAGGGAAGGGGAGACAAGGGGGGGAGUUACCUGAACAAAUCGUCGUCUGAAUCCAACGAGAAUCGAAAAGGGGGAGAAAAAUCCACUCCCUCCCUCCUCAGAGGAGCCGCUGCCGAGCCACCACCGCGGAGCAGGAGGAGGAGGGGAGAUAAUAUAACAACAAUAAUCCGGGCCGGGAGGGGAGCUAGUUCCUCUUCCGCCUCCUCCUCAGUGCAGCGAACAUGUAGAGCCAAGCGGUGAGCGACCAAGACAAAUCCCUUCCCCCUGAGCCUGCUUCACAGUAUCAACAUGGGCCAGGCUGAACUGGUUCCGACGCACAGUCCGAGCCGCGAAGGGGCGGGAGUAGUGCUGACAAGGGGGCCGCCUCUGCGUGCAAGUGCAAGAGGGCGGGGGAGGGGACCGCCUAGGCAGGGUGAAUCGGUACCGAGAGGAGAUAGGGGUGGCGGGUUGGGAAGAAAAGAGAAAGGAUAGAAUAGGAUAAGAUAAGAUAGAAUCGGAUCCUGUGUGUAUGCCUUUCUCGCUCCCUCAGAACAAAAUGCCGACCGGAAGUGCAGCUGCAGGAAUGACUCCCUCCACAGGCGCCAAACAUAACAGCCUCUCCCUUUCCUCCACGGUCGCUUCCUCACUUGCUUGGCUGGCACUGCUUCCGCUGCCGCUGCAUUGCUCUACGUUACCCUCCUCCUAGCUUUGCUGCAACCGAAGUUCCUUGUCUCACCGCACCUGGGCAGCGAUGGGCACAGCUGAAUCUCCACUGCGUGGCUGUCACUCCACUUCCCACCCACCUGGCUCCCUCCUGAUUUUUUUCUUCUUUUCCCAGCUGGUGCAUGGAACUAGAUGGGAGUUUGUACUCAGGCCUACACUGAAGGAAAAGCAGCUAGAGAUUUGUGAAAAAGUGAUCUUUGAAAAAAAAUACACAUUUUGGGUUUAUUUUUUUUAUCUUCCUUAAGGAUGGUAGGGAGAAGGACUUACAAAUGACUGCAAAAUGCCACCUUAUAGGAGGCAGACUUAAGAAGGCAACUUAUAAUGAAGCCAUGAAGGCAGCAGUCUCCAUCAGCCCCAGCAAGCAAGACGUGGCAAAUCUGGGACACUUACUGGAAUUACUGUUACCAUUACUGAUAAUCUCUGUGGAAUUUAAGAGGCUGUGUCACAGGAACUAAACUAAAACACCCAAUGCCAAAAGUGCUGCCAGAGCACAUAUCAAACUUGAGUGAUUUUUAAGAACAGCCCUUUUGGACAAGUACAAGAGAGAAUGCAGAUGUUAAGCUGAAGGGUCCUAUGCUGGAGGCUGAUGUUCCUCACCAAUUCCAGAUUUACUGGAAAUAUUUUAAUUGUGGGUUGUGAAGGACUGUUUGGAAAAAGAAUGUCUUAGUCUGAAAGAUUUUCUGUUUUUUUUCUGUACAGGGAGGAAUUCAGUGACACACCAUUGCUCCAUACCCACUUCCAUGUCAGACACCAUUUUGUCAGACUGCCCCUCUGUUGCCAUCUGUUGUACAGCAACAACACGGAUCGAAAUAUUGGUGGGAAGGUUCAACCUCAACUGCCAUCCCACCAACAUCUGCCUCUGACAUUGUAGGCCAACA
Gallus gallus (chicken) is the source of this 5863-nucleotide long non-coding RNA. NCBI's taxonomy places the organism in Eukaryota, Metazoa, Chordata, Aves, Galliformes, Phasianidae. The record is from Ensembl.